Molecule: ribosomal RNA, 254 nt
Filed under: uncultured bacterium
Lineage: Bacteria
Description: partial 16S ribosomal RNA
Rfam family: Bacterial small subunit ribosomal RNA
Source: RNAcentral
GACAGAGGGUGCAAACGUUUGUUCGGAAUUACUGGGCGUAAAGCGCGUGUAGGCUGCUCAGAAAGUCGGAUGUGAAAGCCCUGGGCUUAACCUAGGAAGUGCAUUCGAAACUUCUGAGCUUGAGUUCUGGAGAGGAAGGCGGAAUUCUCGGUGUAGAGGUGAAAUUCGUAGAUAUCGAGAGGAACACCAGCGGCGAAGGCGGCACUCUGGGCUGGAACUGACGCUGAGGAGCGAAAGCGUGGGUAGCAAACGGG